Molecule: ribosomal RNA, 262 nt
Filed under: uncultured bacterium
Lineage: Bacteria
Description: partial 16S ribosomal RNA
Rfam family: Bacterial small subunit ribosomal RNA
Source: RNAcentral
UUAGUGGCGGACGGGUGAGUAACGCGUGGGGAACCUGCCCUGUACAGGGGGGUAACACUUAGAAAUAGGUGCUAAUACCGCAUAAGCGCACAGUAUCGCAUGAUACAGUGUGAAAAACUCCGGUGGUACAGGAUGGACCCGCGUCUGAUUAGCUGGUUGGCGGGGUAACGGCCCACCAAGGCGACGAUCAGUAGCCGGCCUGAGAGGGUGAACGGCCACAUUGGGACUGAGACACGGCCCAAACUCCUACGGAAGGCAGCAG